AGUAACGCGUAGGUAACCUGCCUUGUAGCGGGGGAUAACUAUUGGAAACGAUAGCUAAUACCGCAUAACAAUGGAUGACACAUGUCAUUUAUUUGAAAGGGGCAAUUGCUCCACUACAAGAUGGACCUGCGUUGUAUUAGCUAGUAGGUGAGGUAACGGCUCACCUAGGCGACGAUACAUAGCCGACCUGAGAGGGUGAUCGGCCACACUGGGACUGAGACACGGCCCAGACUCCUACGGGAGGCAGCAGUAGGGAAUCUUCGGCAAUGGGGGCAACCCUGACCGAGCAACGCCGCGUGAGUGAAGAAGGUUUUCGGAUCGUAAAGCUCUGUUGUAAGUCAAGAACGAGUGUGAGAGUGGAAAGUUCACACUGUGACGGUAGCUUACCAGAAAGGGACGGCUAACUACGUGCCAGCAGCCGCGGUAAUACGUAGGUCCCGAGCGUUGUCCGGAUUUAUUGGGCGUAAAGCGAGCGCAGGCGGUUUGAUAAGUCUGAAGUUAAAGGCUGUGGCUCAACCAUAGUUCGCUUUGGAAACUGUCAAACUUGAGUGCAGAAGGGGAGAGUGGAAU
Molecule: ribosomal RNA, 570 nt
Filed under: uncultured Bacilli bacterium
Lineage: Bacteria; Bacillati; Bacillota; Bacilli
Description: bacterial SSU rRNA
Rfam family: Bacterial small subunit ribosomal RNA
Source: RNAcentral